Molecule: long non-coding RNA, 201 nt
Organism: Sinocyclocheilus rhinocerous
Lineage: Eukaryota; Metazoa; Chordata; Actinopteri; Cypriniformes; Cyprinidae
Exons: 3
Source: RefSeq, a predicted model, not a curated record
UUUCAAAUGUGUUUUUUUCACUCGAUGUAAAGAGUUUCUCUUUCAGACGAAACAGACCCCCUUUUUUAAAGUUAAUGACAAUAACAUAGAGGAACAUCUAAUACAAGUGCGCCAUCGUCUGUAUCUCCUCCACCUUCUCCAGCAGCUUCACCACAUCAGAUUCCCGGUGUCCAUUGUUAAGCACAUGGCAUCUAUUCCCAC